This 1213-nucleotide long non-coding RNA is filed under the name Homo sapiens (human). Its description in RNAcentral is "novel transcript, antisense to ZNF281". The record is from RNAcentral. Lineage: Eukaryota; Metazoa; Chordata; Mammalia; Primates; Hominidae.
AUAUGCCAUCUUUUGUGACUGGCUUCUUUCACUUUUUCAUUGUUUAACAUAAUAUUUUCAAAGUUCAUCUGUGUUGUGGCAUGUAUCAGUACUUCAUUCCAUCUUUUUUUUUUUUUUAAUUUAAAAGACAGGUUCUUUCUACGUUGCCCAAGCUGGAGUGCAGUGGCCAUUCAACAGGUGGGAUCAUAGCACACCGCAGCCUCAAAUUCCUGGGCUCCAGCGAUCCUCCCAUCUCAGCCUCCCAAGUAGCUGGGGCUAUAGGCAUGUGCCACCACACCCAGCUAUUCCUUCUUAUAGCCAAAUAAUAUUCCAUUGUAUGGAUCAUUUUUUUUCUUUUCUUUUCUUUUUUUUCUGAGAUGGAGUCUCACUCUGUUGCCCAGACGAGUGCAGUGGCACAAUCUUGGCUCACUGCAACCUUCACCUCCUGGUUCAAGCAAUUCUCCUGCCUCAGCCUCCCAAAGUGGAGGAAGAAGAGAAUCACCACAUAUCGUAUUUAGAGGUCCUGCAGAAAGGGCAGAGCGAGUUUCAUGUUUGAGUGCAGCGGAUGCAUGGGCAAAGCAUUACACAGCCGCUCCAUGGAAGUGACAAUGAGCCUUGUCUUUCACACGUAACUCCAGGAACCAGGGGAAACAAAACCAAUUCCACCCAGAGGUACAGACAAAGAAGAGCACCCUCCCAAAGGAGCCCGCAUGAUAAGUGGCCACGGCGAACAUCACUGUGAUCAGUCAGAAAGGCAGGCGAGUUAUUAGCUUAGCCCUGAACCUCCUACUUAAUGUAGAACCAGUGGUGAUGGUUAACAGACCCUGGCUGCAGUGACAAGCCUGGGACCUGCUCGAGGAAAUCCAAUUGAAAAGCAGCCAAGAGGAACAACAAGCUAGAAACAGAUGUUCCAGCUACCAGGAUGUGCACGCAUUUAACCUGAACAUGUAGUUGGGGUGGGAUGGUAGCAUUCGUUUCUAAAUAUAGUGAUUUCACUUCUUCCCCCAUAUAGAUAUUGUCAAGUUUAAUUAUAGCCAUCCACAUUAGUUUUGUCAAAUUUUCAGCAAUUUCUUUAAAAUAAGAAGAUGUCAGAAUGAUAACUGCUAUUAAGGGAAUUCAGGGUGUUUGGUUUAUCUACCCAGUCUUACUAAAACAUUUCAGUUAAAUCAUCCACUCUUAAACUCCAGUCUCAUAGCAAUUAAAAAUUAUCUUUUAAAAAAUUGCCCAAAUGAAA